GCCAGCGAGUACCUCCUUGGCCGAAAGGCCCGGGUAAUCUUGUUAAACCCUGUCGUGCUGGGGAUAGAGCAUUGCAAUUAUUGCUCUUCAACGAGGAAUCCCUAGUAAGCGCAAGUCAUCAGCUUGCGUUGAUUACGUCCCUGCCCUUUGUACACACCGCCCGUCGCUACUACCGAUUGAAUGGCUCAGUGAGGCCUUCGGACUGGCCCAGAGAGGUGGGCAACUACCACUCAGGGCCGGAAAGUUGUCCAAACUCGGUCAUUUAGAGGAAGUAAAAGUCGUAACAAGGUCUCCGUUGGUGAACCAGCGGAGGGAUCAUUACCGAAGUUACUCUUCAUACCCUUAUGUGAACCCUACCCCUCGCCGCGCGGUUGCCUCGGCGGGAGGUCGCGGGCUGGGGCUCCGGCCCCUGCCCCCGCGGCCCCCGCCGGCCGCGCCCAACUCUUCUUCUGCAAAGCGGACUGCAAGUUCUGAUUAUAUCUUGAAAAACAAGUCAAAACUUUCAACAACGGAUCUCUUGGUUCUGGCAUCGAUGAAGAACGCAGCGAAAUGCGAUAAGUAAUGUGAAUUGCAGAAUUCAGUGAAUCAUCGAAUCUUUGAACGCACAUUGCGCCCGGCAGCAAUCUGCCGGGCAUGCCUGUCCGAGCGUCAUUUCUGCCCUCGAGCGCGGUUCCGUCCCCGGACGGAGCCGCCGCCCGGUGUUGGGGCGCUGCGGGCCUCGAGCCCGCAGGCCCCGAAAUGAAGUGGCGGUCCCGCCGCGGCGCCCCCUGCGUAGUAAGUGUCUUGCACCUCGCAUCGGGACCCGGCGUCGGCCAGCCGUCGAACCCUCUUUCUCUUGAUGGUUUGACCUCGGAUCAGGUAGGGUUACCCGCUGAACUUAAGCAUAUCAAUAAGCGGAGGAAAAGAAACCAACAGGGAUUGCCCCAGUAACGGCGAGUGAAGCGGCAACAGCUCAAAUUUGAAAUCUGGCCCCCUUGCGGGGUCCGAGUUGUAAUUUGAAGAGGAUGCUUCUGGCGAGGCGCCGUCCGAGUUCCCUGGAACGGGACGCCGCAGAGGGUGAGAGCCCCGUACGGUCGGACGCCGAGCCUCUGUGAAGCUCCUUCGACGAGUCGAGUAGUUUGGGAAUGCUGCUCAAAAUGGGAGGUAAACCCCUUCUAAAGCUAAAUACCGGCCAGAGACCGAUAGCGCACAAGUAGAGUGAUCGAAAGAUGAAAAGCACUUUGAAAAGAGAGUUAAAAAGCACGUGAAAUUGUUGAAAGGGAAGCGCUUGCGACCAGACUCGCGCCCGUCGGAUCAGCCGUCGCUCGUCGGCGGCGCACUCCGGCGGGCUCGGGCCAGCAUCGGUUCGCCUCGGGGGGAGAAAGGCGGCGGGAAUGUGGCUCUUCGGAGUGUUAUAGCCCACCGCGUAAUACCCCCGGGCGGACCGAGGACCGCGCGUAUGCAAGGAUGCUGGCGUAAUGGUCGUCAGCGACCCGUCUUGAAACACGGACCAAGGAGUCGUCCUAAUAUGCGAGUGUUCGGGUGUCAAACCCCUGCGCGUAAUGAAAGUGAACGGAGGUGAGAGCUUCGGCGCAUCAUCGACCGAUCCUGAUGUUCUCGGAUGGAUUUGAGUAAGAGCAUAUUGGGCCGGACCCGAAAGAAGGUGAACUAUGCCUGUAUAGGGUAAAGCCAGAGGAAACUCUGGUGGAGGCUCGCAGCGGUUCUGACGUGCAAAUCGAUCGUCAAAUAUGGGCAUGGGG
This 1739-nucleotide small RNA is filed under the name Microascus longicollis. RNAcentral describes it as "eukaryotic LSU rRNA". The stretch from base 845 to 1739 matches the Rfam family "Eukaryotic large subunit ribosomal RNA", at positions 1 to 922 of the family's 3401-position model. Lineage: Eukaryota; Fungi; Ascomycota; Sordariomycetes; Microascales; Microascaceae. The record is from RNAcentral.